GAUGAACGCUGGCGGCGUGCUUAACACAUGCAAGUCGAACGAGAAGUGAAGACGGAAACCUUCGGGCGGAAGGCUUUAUUUCGAGUGGCGGACGGGUGAGUAACGCGUGGGUAACCUGCCUCAUUCAGGGGGAUAACAGUUGGAAACGACUGUUAAUACCGCAUAAGACCACAGCACCGCAUGGUGCGGGGGUAAAAACUCCGGUGGUAUGAGAUGGACCCGCGUUCGAUUAGCCAGUUGGCGGGGUAACGGCCCACCAAAGCGACGAUCGAUAGCCGAUCUGAGAGGAUGACCGGACACACUGGGACUGAGACACGGCCCAAACUCCUACGGGAGGCAGCAGUGGGGAAUAUUGCACAAUGGGGGAAACCCUGAUGCAGCGACGCCGCGUGAGUGAAGAAGUAUUUCGGUAUGUAAAGCUCUAUCAGCAGGGAAGAAAAUGACGGUACCUGAGUAAGAAGCCCCGGCUAACUACGUG
Molecule: ribosomal RNA, 478 nt
Filed under: uncultured bacterium
Lineage: Bacteria
Description: partial 16S ribosomal RNA
Rfam family: Bacterial small subunit ribosomal RNA
Source: RNAcentral